ACAAUUAGUUGGAGCUUUCUUUGGUCAACAGCAGAUGUGACUAAGAAAAUCACGCUGUUUCACUUAGAGCAGUGGUCACCAAGUGUGGUCCUUAGGCCACACAGGUCAGCAUCACCUAGGAACUAGGAAAUGCAAGUUCUUAAGCAAUCCCACCCAGACCUACUGAAUUGGAAGUGCUGAGGAUGGGGUCCAGCAAUCUGUGGUUGAACAAGCUCUGCAGAGCUUUGCAGAACAGAUCACCAUAACAACCACCAUCCUGGGAGACAGCAAAAGAACAGAGAGAAACAUCCUUUUUAUUUGCCUGAAAAUCAAGGGACAGCAGGGAAACGGGUCUUUUCAUCAAAGCUUGUUUUGGUGUCUCCCAAGUUGGAGGGUCCAUGUGCCAAGGGACGGCAGUGGAAGAAGUCAACAUGUUUAACAGACUACACCCAAUAUGUGUGAUUUUUAGGGAUCAGGCAUCCAGGAGCAGAGCUGUGGGGCAGCAGAAUCUGUGAUGACAGAGAA
Molecule: long non-coding RNA, 504 nt
Filed under: Homo sapiens (human)
Lineage: Eukaryota; Metazoa; Chordata; Mammalia; Primates; Hominidae
Description: KCNMA1 antisense RNA 1
Source: RNAcentral